RNAcentral lists this ribosomal RNA (253 nucleotides) under uncultured bacterium. Its description in RNAcentral is "partial 16S ribosomal RNA". It matches the Rfam family "Bacterial small subunit ribosomal RNA", at positions 524 to 776 of the family's 1533-position model. The record is from RNAcentral.
UACGUAGGGGGCAAGCGUUGUCCGGACUUACUGGGCGUAAAGCGCGUGCAGGCGGAUUGGUAUGUGCCGUGUGAAAGCUCCCAGCUUGCCUGGGAGAGGUCGCGGUAGACAGCCGAUCUGGAGGCUCGGAGAGGUUAGUGGAAUUCCCGGUGUAGUGGUGAAAUGCGUAGAGAUCGGAAAGAACACCAACGGCGAAAGCACUCUGCUGGGCCGACACUGACACUGAGAGACGAAAGCUAGGGGAGCGAACGGG